RNAcentral lists this long non-coding RNA (804 nucleotides) under Homo sapiens (human). Its description in RNAcentral is "non-protein coding lnc-ITGA3-3:1". The record is from RNAcentral. Lineage: Eukaryota; Metazoa; Chordata; Mammalia; Primates; Hominidae.
AGAAGCCGCUCUCUCUCGGCUCAGGUCGGCUGGACAGACCCGCAGGGAAUGCGGCGAACGCUGCCCUAAGCGCCCGGGCAUUGCGGCUGCUCCAUCCGCCCUACUCCUCCCAUUGCCUGGGACCUCUGCAGCGUCCCCGUAGAGCCGCGCAGGUUAGGGUGGCUGGCUUGGAAGAACAGAAACCCCUCGGCCCAACCCUCCCCUGUCCCUCAGCAUUCUAGGGCUGGGCUGUCCCGCGGCCGAGAUUCCUGGAGAGCUAGGCGGGCCAGAGCUGACCAGAUCCCCCGCGGCGGCACCGCAGCGCGAUCCAGGAGUGGCCCCGCCGGGCUACGCUGCGCGCUCUUGGAACCCGGGUCACCUUCCCUGCCGCCGGAACCGCUCUGUGCGCGCUGCCCAACGAAGGAAGGGGCUGCCCCACGCAGACCCGGCUUCUGGGGGUCCCUGGAAACCCAGGCGGCCACGGUGUGGCGGGGGAGACAUGGUCACUUUUCCUGCAGGGUGCGCCUGAGCAGAGGGGCAGCCCGUUACAGUAGGCGAGGCCAGGGCAAACCCGGGGUCACUAUCAGCGCUGCGAGACUGGUAUUCAAGGUCCUCUCAGCCGGGCCUCUCACCCACCCCGCUGGCCGCAGCCGGAGGCUGCCACGCGGACACCGUCUCAAGCCUCUGAGCAUUGCUCUGAGCCUCUGCCUGCAAUGUCCUUCCUCUGUCAUCUCUAGGCCUCGGCUCAGCCCUGGACCUAGCCUUUCUGCCCCGCCCUACCCCAAGCUGGCGCCACCGCCCGUGGCUGAACUCCGACCUCCCACC